UCGGGAAUUUUGGGCAAUGGGGGAAACCCUGACCCAGCAACGCCGCGUGAAGGAUGAAGUAUUUCGGUAUGUAAACUUCGAAAGAAUAGGAAGAAUAAAUGACGGUACUAUUUAUAAGGUCCGGCUAACUACGUGCCAGCAGCCGCGGUAAUACGUAGGGUGCAGGCGUUAAUCGGAAUUACUGGGCGUAAAGCGUGCGCAGGCGGCUCCUUAAGUCAGAUGUGAAAUCCCCGGGCUUAACCUGGGAACUGCGUUUGAAACUGAGGGGCUAGAGUGUGGAAGAGGGGGGUGGAAUUCCAGGUGUAGCAGUGAAAUGCGUAGAGAUCUGGAGGAACACCGAUGGCGAAGGCAGCCCCCUGGGCUAACACUGACGCUCAUGCACGAAAGCGUGGGGAGCAAACAGGAUUAGAUACCCAUGUAGUCCCUGAGCGGGCUGGCAAGGCGCAU
Molecule: ribosomal RNA, 447 nt
Filed under: uncultured bacterium
Lineage: Bacteria
Description: bacterial SSU rRNA
Rfam family: Bacterial small subunit ribosomal RNA
Source: RNAcentral